Arachis duranensis is the source of this 585-nucleotide long non-coding RNA. RefSeq lists it as uncharacterized. The record is from RefSeq and is a predicted model, not a curated record. Lineage: Eukaryota; Viridiplantae; Streptophyta; Magnoliopsida; Fabales; Fabaceae. The transcript is spliced from 3 exons.
AUCAAUUCUGAUGGCUAUCUCCACCCAUGUCCUUUCUUUCUCUUCUUCUUCUUCCUUCUCUGCAUCCUUCUUUUCUUGUUCCAAGGCUUCUUCUUAUUCCAUUUUCAAGCUUCUUUUUAAAUCAUUGUCCUACACCAUUCAUUCUUCUUAUUUCGAAGUGGGCUCUUCCCCUGAAUCCUUCAAUUUCAGGCUAUUUCCAUUGCACCUCUUUUUGAAUUUUUAAUCUUCAAUAUGGUCGCCAGCAAGGUGUUUGCAGAAAUGUUUCUACAAUUGAACUAACAUAACUGUGAAAAAAAUUAUUGUUGUUGUUGUCAGGAAGGCUGAAAUUUCAUCCAUGUCUCUGUUUGCAUUCUCAAUGAAUGAAUCCAGCAACCAACCCAUCAAGUGGCAAAGGGUAUUGCUCAAAGUCAGUGGAGAAGCUCUUGCCGGAGAUCACUCCUAGAAUAUUGACCCCAAGAUAACUAUGGCUAUUGCAAGGGAGGUAGCAGCUGUGACUCGUCUUGGAAUUGAGCUUGAAAUAGUAGUUGGUGGGGUAAUAUCUUCCAUGGAUCAUCUUGGGCUGGAUGCAGUGGCCUGGACCGGUCA